AUGCCAUUCAUAAAAAUCAAUCCAAAUGACAUUCAUAGAAGUUAAAAGCAUAUAUAUAUAUAUAUCCAAAAUAUGACUGAAGAGUUAUCAGAUACAUAAGUGUCACAAUGCAUAAGACUCAAGUCAAAAUAUAUAGGCCAUACCAAAGUCAUGGAUAACAAAAAAAUACAACUAUCCAUGAGUCAAUCAGCCAACAAAUACAAAAGCUAUAAGUUAGAUCUUAGACAUAAAAGACUAACUAUGCUAGAUCUAAUAAAUAUCAUGGCUAGAGGCAUCAGAAUCAAAAGAGUCAGAGAUAUAAUGAGGAGACUCAGAAUCAAAGCCACAGACACAUCCUCGACCAUGCCUGCCUCAACCAUGGGUAGAAGUACCGACAUGAAUAGAAGGACGGAAAGAUCCUAGAGCCUGGGAAGAUAUGGGCUGUGCUAGGAGAACAAGUCAAAUGGUGUCCAAUUGUUUCAAAGCUCUCGACAUGGACUGCAUCAGGGUACAAAUCUGAGUAGAGAUAGCCUCACUGGAGUCCCUGAUCUCUCUCCUCAAAAAAUCAAAGCUACUCUCCAAAAUACCUCGAAGCCUAGCCGUCUCUACAGACAGGUUGGAGACCUCCGUGAUGUCCUCUUAUGGCUGGGGAUGGGCUAAGGCUAGUACCUACCUCUGCAAAUCUAAAACUCUGUCCGUCAGUCUCAGAAUAUAUCCUUCAAGCUGCUCAAGUCAUGCGGACUGAGCAGUAAGCAUCUGAAAGAUAGUAGAGAUAUGAGAGAUCAUAGUCUGGUUAGGAUUAGCCUGAGAUAUCAUCCUCUGAGCAAAAUCUGAGGUGGCAAACUGCUGGGAUAAAACGGAAGCAAC
Molecule: long non-coding RNA, 846 nt
Filed under: Elaeis guineensis (African oil palm)
Lineage: Eukaryota; Viridiplantae; Streptophyta; Magnoliopsida; Arecales; Arecaceae
Description: long non-coding RNA (EGUI_LNC043557)
Source: RNAcentral